Molecule: non-coding RNA, 67 nt
Organism: Branchiostoma belcheri (Belcher's lancelet)
Lineage: Eukaryota; Metazoa; Chordata; Leptocardii; Amphioxiformes; Branchiostomatidae
Source: the annotation of a RefSeq genome assembly
AAGGAGUUAGGUUAAAUCAGAGACCUUUAGCCUUCAAAGCUGACAGUGGAGGGUAAUCCAAUCCUUA